AAUCUGCCCUCCACUUUGGGAUAACUCCGGGAAACCGGGGCUAAUACCGAAUAUUGAAACAUAAGUGGCAUCACUGAGUUUUGAAAGAAUUUCGGUGGAGGAUGACUUCGCGGCCUAUCAGCUUGUUGGUGAGGUAAUGGCUCACCAAGGCGGCGACGGGUAGCCGGCCUGAGAGGGCGACCGGCCACACUGGGACUGAGACACGGCCCAGACUCCUACGGGAGGCAGCAGUGGGGAAUAUUGGGCAAUGGACGCAAGUCUGACCCAGCGACGCCGCGUGCGG
RNAcentral lists this ribosomal RNA (283 nucleotides) under uncultured bacterium. Its description in RNAcentral is "partial 16S ribosomal RNA". It matches the Rfam family "Bacterial small subunit ribosomal RNA", at positions 123 to 406 of the family's 1533-position model. The record is from RNAcentral.